GGCCUGAUAGUUCAGUGGUAGAAUUCUUGCUUUGGGCCCCCAAUCUCAAUUGUAAGAGGUCUCCGGUUCGAUCCCGGAUUAGGCCC
Non-coding RNA from Halenospora varia, 86 nucleotides. NCBI's taxonomy places the organism in Eukaryota, Fungi, Ascomycota, Leotiomycetes, Helotiales, Solenopeziaceae. The record is from the annotation of a GenBank genome assembly.